UAUUGAUGUGGACGGAGCAGCAGCAGGUGAAGACUCGGCUUCACAGAUCCCACCUGGACAGAAAUGUUGGCGUCAGGUUAGAGGAGACUCAGCUUCAGAUUCAAAGAUGGUCGGUGUUUGUGG
Molecule: long non-coding RNA, 123 nt
Organism: Cololabis saira (Pacific saury)
Lineage: Eukaryota; Metazoa; Chordata; Actinopteri; Beloniformes; Belonidae
Exons: 3
Source: RefSeq, a predicted model, not a curated record